GCAUAUCAAUAAGCGGAGGAAAAGAAACUAACAAGGAUUCCCUUAGUAACGGCGAGUGAAGCGGGAAGAGCUCAAAUUUGAAAUCUUCAAGGUUCUACCUUGACGAAUUGUAGUUUAAAGAAGUGUUUUCUGUUAGAUGAGUAGCAAAAGUUCCUUGGAAUGGGACAUCAUAGAGGGUGAGAAUCCCGUAUUUGGUUAUUCAUUCUAGCUUUGUGAUACACUUUCAAAGAGUCGGAUUGUUUGGGAAUGCAGUCCAAAAUGGGUGGUAAAUUUCAUCUAAAGCUAAAUAUUGGCGAGAGACCGAUAGCGAACAAGUACCGUGAGGGAAAGAUGAAAAGAACUUUGAAAAGAGAGUUAAACAGUACGUGAAAUUGUCAAAAGGGAAGCGUUUGACACCAGUGUUGUUUUUCCGAAAAUCAAUUACGAAUGGCUUGAUUUUGUGUUGUAUUGACCUUAUCAGCUUUCUUCACUUUUUUCGAGUCUUUCUUAAUGCACUUUUCGGUUAACAAGUCAACAUCAAUUUCUUUUGUUGUAAAAGAGUAUUCGGAAGGUGGCUUUCUUUUCGGAGAAAGUGUUUAUAGCCCUAUACUUCUACAAUCGGAGAGAUUGAGGUCUGCAGCGUAGAUCCUUCGGGGUUAGAUACACUUGUGCUAAGUUGUAGCUUUUCAUAGACAACUUGUUGACUAUGUUUAGUCAUGCGGCUUACUCGCUUAUGCUAUUUUACCUACGCUUAGGAUGUUGACAAAAUGGUUUUAAACGACCCGUCUUGAAACACGGACC
This 780-nucleotide ribosomal RNA is filed under the name Neocallimastix frontalis. RNAcentral describes it as "partial large subunit ribosomal RNA". It matches the Rfam family "Eukaryotic large subunit ribosomal RNA", at positions 38 to 667 of the family's 3401-position model. The record is from RNAcentral. Lineage: Eukaryota; Fungi; Neocallimastigomycota; Neocallimastigomycetes; Neocallimastigales; Neocallimastigaceae.